Molecule: ribosomal RNA, 912 nt
Filed under: ectomycorrhizal fungal sp. EDM8
Lineage: Eukaryota; Fungi
Description: eukaryotic LSU rRNA
Rfam family: 5.8S ribosomal RNA (bases 256-409)
Source: RNAcentral
CCUGCGGAAGGAUCAUUAUUGAAUAAACUUGGGUUGGGUUGCUGCUGCGCUCUUAGGAGCAUGUGCACACUCACUCCAUUUUAACCACCUGUGCACAUACUGUAGACCUGAGUGAAACUGUUCGAGGAAACUCGGUUUGAGGACUGUUGUGAAAAUCAGCUGUUCUUGCAUUCCAGGUCUAUGUUUUUAAAAUAUACUCCGUAACAAGUUAUAGAAUGUUAAUAAUAGGCCUUCUGUGCCUUUAAAUUAUAAUACAACUUUCAACAACGGAUCUCUUGGCUCUCGCAUCGAUGAAGAACGCAGCGAAAUGCGAUAAGUAAUGUGAAUUGCAGAAUUCAGUGAAUCAUCGAAUCUUUGAACGCACCUUGCGCUCCUUGGUAUUCCGAGGAGCAUGCCUGUUUGAGUGUCAUGAAAUUCUCAACCUCUCUGGCUUGUAUGAGCUAGUCAGGCUUGGAUUGUGGAAGUUGCUGGUUUCUUUGGAGAUCAGCUCUUCUUAAAUGCAUUAGCAAAGUUCUUGCUGACCAUCUUUGGUAUGAUAAUUAUCUAUACCAUUGAGAGUCGGUGGUUCAGGCUCCGCUUGGGAUAUAUCAUAUAUCCAAAGUGUUCGCUCAACCUCUUUGAAGCACUAGCCUUGGCACAGGUGUUAACUCAUCUGAAUGGUGUUGAAUACUUCAGGUUGACGAAGCGAGGCGUUCUUAGGAGCGCUCACGAGAGCAAGCAGCGUCAGAGCUCGUCUUCCAGUUGGGAGGCUUGAUGCACUGAUGUGUGCACUGUCAUAUUCCUGUACCUACCCUAUGCCACUAUGUGGCUUUGAUGGGUCUGGUCAAACCAUGACCUGAACAUAUCCUUACUGGGAGGAUCUAGCUUCUAAUCAUUGUUCUUAGGGACAAAUAUAUUGACAAUUGACCUCAA